RNAcentral lists this ribosomal RNA (441 nucleotides) under uncultured bacterium. RNAcentral describes it as "partial 16S ribosomal RNA". It matches the Rfam family "Bacterial small subunit ribosomal RNA", at positions 338 to 795 of the family's 1533-position model. The record is from RNAcentral.
CCUACGGGUGGCAGCAGUGGGGAAUAUUGGGCAAUGGGCGCAAGCCUGACCCAGCAAUGCCGCGUGAAGGAAGAAGGCUUUCGGGUUGUAAACUUCUUUGACAGGGGAAGAGCAGAAGACGGUACCCUGAAAACAAGCCACGGCUAACUACGUGCCAGCAGCCGCGGUAAUACGUAGGUGGCAAGGGUUGUCCGGAUUUACUGGGUGUAAAGGGCGUGUAGCCGGGAAGGCAAGUCAGAUGUGAAAUCUGGAGGCUCAACCUCCAAAUUGCAUUUGAAACUGUUUUUCUUGAGUACUGGAGAGGGAGACGGAAUUCCUGGUGUAGGGGUGAAAUGGGUAGGAAUAAGGAGGAAAACCGGGGGCGAGGGCGGUCGGCUGAACAGCAACUGCGGGUGAGGCGCGAAAGCGUGGGAGCAAACAGGAUUAGAUACCCUUGUAGUC